AGAUUGAGCCAUAAUUUGUUUCUUCUUGAAUUUAAUGUCGUGGUGAUGAUGACAAAUUUGUCUGGUAGUCCCAUAUUUUCCUUUUUGUUUGUUUUGGCCCUUAUUUUCAAUCAUUAUGAAAUCUGUUCUGGAAAAGUUUACACAAAAUGUAAUGGCAGAAAGAGCUGCUUAUUCUGAAAAAGGGAAUACUAUUCUUUGCAUUGGGAAAUACCUAAUUUAUAAAUACAACUUUGUCACUGUUUUCUGUUCAUUCUGAUUAAUCUGGAUCGGUUGCUGCCUUGCCAUAUGAACUGAUUUAGUGUUUAU
RNAcentral lists this unclassified non-coding RNA (306 nucleotides) under Hevea brasiliensis (rubber tree). The record is from RNAcentral. Lineage: Eukaryota; Viridiplantae; Streptophyta; Magnoliopsida; Malpighiales; Euphorbiaceae.